RNAcentral lists this transfer RNA (72 nucleotides) under Loxodonta africana (African savanna elephant). It matches the Rfam family "tRNA". From Rfam's summary of the family: Transfer RNA (tRNA) molecules are approximately 80 nucleotides in length. Their secondary structure includes four short double-helical elements and three loops (D, anti-codon, and T loops). Further hydrogen bonds mediate the characteristic L-shaped molecular structure. tRNAs have two regions of fundamental functional importance: the anti-codon, which is responsible for specific mRNA codon recognition, and the 3' end, to which the tRNAs corresponding amino acid is attached (by aminoacyl-tRNA synthetases). tRNAs cope with the degeneracy of the genetic code in two manners: having more than one tRNA (with a specific anti-codon) for a particular amino acid; and 'wobble' base-pairing, i.e. permitting non-standard base-pairing at the 3rd anti-codon position. Lineage: Eukaryota; Metazoa; Chordata; Mammalia; Proboscidea; Elephantidae. The record is from Rfam by way of RNAcentral.
AGAACAGUAGCUCCAUGGUUAAGCACUUGGCUGCUAACCAAAAGAUAAGUGGUUCAAACCCAUCCAGUGUUU